This is a long non-coding RNA of Triticum dicoccoides, 746 nucleotides long. RefSeq lists it as uncharacterized. The record is from RefSeq and is a predicted model, not a curated record. The transcript has 3 exons. Lineage: Eukaryota; Viridiplantae; Streptophyta; Magnoliopsida; Poales; Poaceae.
GCUGAGCUUCUCGUCUCUUUCUAGGUCAUUGAGAGCAGCACGCGCCGCGGAGCGCACUAAUUUUUCUGGAAUUCCGAGAAUCUCACGCACGGGCUAGGCCUAGAGCUCCUUUUGUUUCCAAGCGAUUGGUGGAUUUGUUUGGGGAAUCCAGUUCCUCUUAUGCCCGAAUUUUGUUGGCGGAAUCGGUUGGCCAGAGGAGCAAGGUUAGGGCAGUGACGGGAAGAGAGACUGAUCGCGAUGACGUCCCUGUCGCGGACGAUCUCCCUGGCCGGCCCGAUGCAGCCGUCGGGGCCUCGCCGGAUUCUGAGGACGCAGACCGCCGUCAACCUCGGCGAGCCCAUCUUCGACAGUAAGGUGGUGCCAUCGUCGCUCGUGGAGAUCGCGCCCAUCCUUCGUGUCGCCAACGAGGUCGAGGCGGCCAACCCCCGCGUCGCCUACCUCUAUUGGGUAGAUCGUUCGGUUCCAUAACACGCUCAUCCACGCGACACACGGAGGCAGACACAUUGGUCACCUGGAAGGCAGAGCAGGAGCAGCUGCGCAAGGCGGAGCUCGGGAGGACGCCGCGCCCAGCGGACCAUGGGACGGCGCGCCUUGGGGGCCGGUGGGGUGGCACGUCAUGGGUGCCGGCAAGCGCGGCUGCAAGUGGCUUCUAAGGUCUGAUCUACCUGCAAUAAUCAAUAAUGUAUUAAUCCUGCACUCAUGUAUCCAAAGUGAUAUUCUCACAAAUUACUGGAGUUUGGAUGCUC